CAACGAUUGGAAACGAUCGCUAAUACCGGAUAGGGCGAAAGUUUAAAGGUGCUUCUGGCACCGCUGAUGGAUGAGCCUGCGGCGCAUUAGCUAGUUGGUAGGGUAAAGGCCUACCAAGGCGACGAUGCGCAGCCGACCUGAGAGGGUGAACGGCCACACUGGGACUGAGACACGGCCCAGACUCCUACGGGAGGCAGCAGUAGGGAAUCUUCGGCAAUGGGCGAAAGCCUGACCGAGCAACGCCGCGUGAAUGAUGAAGGCCUUCGGGUGUAAAAUUCUGUUAUAAGGGAAGAACGACUUUAGUAGGAAAUGGCUAGAGUGUGACGGUACCUUAUGAGAAAGCCACGGCUAACUACGUG
Molecule: ribosomal RNA, 359 nt
Filed under: uncultured bacterium
Lineage: Bacteria
Description: bacterial SSU rRNA
Rfam family: Bacterial small subunit ribosomal RNA
Source: RNAcentral